RNAcentral lists this long non-coding RNA (903 nucleotides) under Rattus norvegicus (Norway rat). RNAcentral describes it as "long non-coding RNA NONRATT012656". The record is from RNAcentral. Lineage: Eukaryota; Metazoa; Chordata; Mammalia; Rodentia; Muridae.
UUAAGAACAUCACACUGUAAUUCUUUGAGAUCUACUGUGGAGAUUUUCCUACUGAAUGCUGAGGAAAAAUAGAGGUGAACGCUGGAAAGAGCCAUCCUAACCAAUUUUGAACCCACUGUCAAAAUAGUAGUCCUGAUACUAGAGUGUCCACUGCGAGUGAUAGAAUCCCAGCUGGGACUAAGACUCGGGCUCAAUAACAAUCUAGUAGCUUGCAAACCUCACAGAGCAUCAGGGAAAUUCACCUGGGGAUGGAUGAAUGGAUGGAUGGGUGGAUAGAUAGAUAGAUAGAGAUAGAUAAUCCCCAUUCAGAAAAGAAAGAAUAGCCCCUACCUGGUCUGCCACAGGCCACUAUACACCCAAAUGGCAAGUUCAUUAGCACAAUCAUUAAUAAUAAUUAGGGAAAAAUAGAUACAAACAGAAAGGAUCAAGUCAUCUGCUAUGGUUUGAAAAGGCUUGGUCCCCACCAGGUGCUAUUUUGGAAGGUUCUAGGCCCUUGAGAAGAAAGCAGAUUACUGGGAGCAGGUCCCUCCAAAGCUGCCUCUCUGCUGUUUGUCGGCCCUGGGAUGAAGAAGCUCAUCUGCCCCAACUGCCCUCCCUGGUGUUCUUUCCGUUCCAGUGCAUGGGGUCAUGCAGGCAGCCCCUCGUGGACACUUCUUCAGGAGGCCUUUGAGACAGAUGAACUGCUGGGAGGAAGACCUGGUUCUGAUAAACCAGCCUACCGCCAUCUUUGACUUGAAAGUUACCUCACGUUAAAGACAAAGCAGGUCUACUCCUCUUUGGGAUUGAAACUCUGUUUCUCAAGGAUUGUGCUGUGCCCCACCUGUUACCUUAAGUACAAAUGGUCCUGUACUGCCUGCCCCAGGAAACAGCAACCAUGUCUCCAUUUCAAAAGUUGUUAUAACC